Molecule: ribosomal RNA, 465 nt
Filed under: Vreelandella stevensii
Lineage: Bacteria; Pseudomonadati; Pseudomonadota; Gammaproteobacteria; Oceanospirillales; Halomonadaceae
Description: partial 16S ribosomal RNA
Rfam family: Bacterial small subunit ribosomal RNA
Source: RNAcentral
CCUACGGGAGGCAGCAGUGGGGAAUAUUGGACAAUGGGGGGAACCCUGAUCCAGCCAUGCCGCGUGUGUGAAGAAGGCCCUCGGGUUGUAAAGCACUUUCAGUGAGGAAGAACGCCUGGUGGUUAAUACCCAUCAGGAAAGACAUCACUCACAGAAGAAGCACCGGCUAACUCCGUGCCAGCAGCCACGGUAAUACGGAGGGUGCGAGCGUUAAUCGGAAUUACUGGGCGUAAAGCGCGCGUAGGUGGCUUGAUAAGCCGGUUGUGAAAGCCCCGGGCUCAACCUGGGAACGGCAUCCGGAACUGUCAAGCUAGAGUGCAGGAGAGGAAGGUAGAAUUCCCGGUGUAGCGGUGAAAUGCGUAGAGAUCGGGAGGAAUACCAGUGGCGAAGGCGGCCUUCUGGACUGACACUGACACUGAGGUGCGAAAGCGUGGGUAGCAAACAGGAUUAGAUACCCCGGUAGUC